AGCCUUCAGCGGAAAACACAAAGAGCAUCCGAUAGCGUUCUUCUUCCUCUUCUGUAAUAGCCACCUCUCCUGCCCCUCGCACCGACACAGGCGCGAUCCGUGCCGGCACCCCGUUGCCCGCCAUCGCUCACCCUCCCUCUCUGUGUCGCAGGCGUAUAUCGCCAGGCGACUGACACGCUGCGGUGCGCACACAAGCGAACACACGCAAAGCCACAAACACCCGCACAAAGGCACAUCUAAACUAAGGGAUAAGAGCGUCAGAUCACGUGUUGGGGGGCUGGUCUGUGCACCUUGCCGUGUAGGGGCGCUCGCGUGCGCGUCGUGCGAGUCUGCGUGUGUGUACGUGUGUCUUCCGUUUGCCAGCACCUCUUUCCUUCUCUCUUCCAGAGCUCGAAACGCGCACGCGUGUGUGGCCGCUGUGUGCGUGUGGCAUCUCUCUCUCCCCUCGGCCUGGCCUUGUUUCCUGUUCUUCUCUGUUCGUUUUUUUUUCGUUGUUGUUGCGCGCUGUCUUCUUUUCUCUACAUCGCGAUCUAUAUCUGUACAUCUCUCUCUAUAACCAUCUAUCGAUAGAUGGUUAUAUAGAGAGAGAGGGAGAUAUAUAUUUAUUGAUAUCUAGUGCUGUAAAUUCAUCUAUUUAUCUGCCUCUCUCUCUAUAUAUACAUCUCUGUUUCUCUCUAUAUAUACCUGUGCAUACAUAUAUACAAAUACACACACACACAUAUAUAUAGUUGCAGAGAGAGAGAGGGGGGAGGGAGAGACUAAUUCUUUUUUUGUGUGUGUGUGGUGUUGGUGGUUUGACGCUUGUGCACCCAUCUCCAGUUGAGUUGUCUUUUUUCUGCCCUGUGUUGGUCUCGAUGGAUUGACUGCCUCUGUUCUCUCUCCCACUCCCACUCCCACUCCCACUCUCUCGCUGUGGUAUCCACUUCAACGGUGCAACAUCUUCGCCGUCCUUCUCUGUCGUUUGCCGUUGCUGCUCUACUUUAAGUGUCGUGUCCUUUUCAGCAUAUCUUCCCUUCCCUCUCCAGAGCUUUCCCCAAUCCCGUGGGAUAUGCCGGGGUAGCCGUACUCUCUUACGCUUUUCUAGCUUCCAUUGUUUCUGUAUUUUGAUAUACACAGCUCCUUCUUCGAUCCCCAUUGUCUUCGGCGCAGCAGCCAUAAUCAUUGUCCUCACCUGCUUGCCCCCCUCCCCACGCGAUCCUUCCGUCCUUCCCUCAUCCACUGACACGCUUCACCGCAUACUGCCGCCAUCCUCUGCCUCUCAUCGCUCUGGGCUUCUCGUGUGUUGUCUCGGCCCUCAAUACACAACACAGGAGUAGCCUUCCCUCCUCUGACAAGGGUGCACGAACUUGAGCAGAGAAGCAGAGACGAAGUGGCACACAGGCAGAGGUACAAGAGCGUCCGUGUGCACAGGAGCAUUACCGGUCACCCAAAUCUGUCUCUCUGUCGUUUGUUGUUGUCGGUUUGUUUCUCUCCAACUCCCUCUCUCGAGCUCGUCGGUUCUCCGCAGAAAGCACUGUGACGUGCGCACGCAAAGUCUGCACAAAACGCUUAUCCUCGUCACCGUCGCGCGCGUGCAUUGGUCUGUGCCAGGGAGCUACCAGGAGGACAGCGCGAGACACAUACACACUCACACAUCAAUUAGAUACUAACGACGCAGAGAAGGAGGACUCGAACAAGCAACAACGGCAACAGCAAAAGACGUCGACGACACCGAAAAUAGGCCUCUUCCAGCCACUUGAUUGUCUGUGCCUCAAUCUCUCUCUCUGUGUUUGCUGUUGUGUCGUCUUGUGUCACGGUCUCUGUUUGUGCCUGUGCGUGUGUGUGUGUGUGUUGUGUUGCCUCGCUUAUUUUUUUUUCUUCUGCCUCGUUUCCUCCCGGUAGAAAUCAAGGCAGAAACAGGGCACCCGCCCAUCCACCCACACACGCACAAGCACGCACACACACAUAUAUAUAUAUAUAUACGUCCACACGCCUCUGUUGUCCCUCCCUGCCUUCUCUUCUACUCUCUCUGUCUUCUCUCUCGCCUUCUCUCGGCGGCACUUCUCUUUUUCAAGUUUGUCUUCCGUCUUUUAAUUUUUCUUUCGCGUGCCUGGCCGUGUCUCUGGGCGCAUUUUAUCUUUCGUGGCUUUGUGUGUGUGUGUGUGUGUCUUGUGUUCCCUCCGCCACACAGCGCUCUCUCACUCUCCCCCUCCCUCUUUCCUGUCCCUUGUAUCGCGUGCCAUGAUUUGUCGGCUUCUUUUUGUUUUGCGUGCCUUCGUUUAAAGAAACGAUUAGACGUUCGUGUGCUGCGUGUGUUGCGUGUUCCUUCGCUCCUCUGCGAAACGUUUCCCUUCUCGUACGUGAACCUGUGCCCGGCUCGCUUGUCUGUUUACUACUUGGACCGUCUCGUGCAUCGUCUCGCUGGCUCGCUCGCUCACUUUCGUUGCGUGCGCACCGCAUUGCAUUGGACUGCCGAGACGAGCGUCGUUGUCUUUCAUCUCUGGUGUGGCGUUUAGCCUCUGCACUCGUUGCUUGUCGACUACGACAGCAGGUUUGCGUGUACCUGCGCGCGUAUUGAUCCUCUACCUCACCUCUUCUUCUUCCUCCCACCUACUGUUUUCCGUCGCGUGCGUUUGUGUGUGUGUGUGUCUUUUCCGCUGCUGCGUGUUUUUGGUGGCCGUCUGUCCCGUCUUCUCCUCUUCACUCCCCUCCCCACUAAGUGUUUUUACUUCACCUAACGCUGCUUUCACCGCUCUUGCAUCGGUUAAACGCGACCUCCUCCUCCUCCUUGUUUUGUCCGUGUCUGGGUGCCUGUGCAGGUGUGUGCGUGUGUAUACGUUUCUUUGCAGCCGCGGUCUUCUUUUCCUUUGCUGGUGUUGGUGUUGUUGCUGUUCUUCUUCACGUUCCCCGAGUUUGUGUGUUGUUCGUUAGUGCUUGAGCCCCUCCACCCCUCCCUCCGGCAACAGCUCAGCACGUUGGGCCAGACAAAUACACGGUUGCCUUCAAGGACGCUUUUCUGCCGUUGCUGUGUGCCGUGUUCUUCAUCCAACGCAACACCAGCGGCAUCAGCUCGCCAUCAUCGCAAUUCGGUCAUAGAAAGCGGAGAGCAAACACACGUAGCCACACACCACGAAAGACACCUGACAAACAACAGCGAAAAAAAAAGGAACGAGCAGGGGCACAAAACUCUCGAACUGUGUCGACGAAGUUCUGCAGUGCCACCCCCCCCCCUCCCCGGCGCCUCUCUCUUCGUUUAUUCGUGUGUACGUGUGGGCUUGCGUGCCCGCGCUGAGCGUCUCUCUCUGAAAACGCACUUCUCCCUCCUCCCUAACUCUCGCAUAUUUGUUUUGCCUUUCGUCUUGUGGUGCUUAACCCACCCCCUCCCCCUCCCCCUUCUUUUUUUUUGCUAGCGGCGCCCCACCCCCACCCCCUCUCUCUCUCUGUAUCUGCCGUGCAGGCGGUUGUGCCAUAAGCGUGUCUUCGCUGGAUUGUGGGCCCGCUCACCUCCCGCCACGCCGACUUCCUUCUUUCUCUUUCCGCUUUCCCCUUUCUCUAGUGCACCGUCUCCCUCGUGUUGCUGGUGCGUGUGUCUUCGUGCCUUGUGCUGUGUGUCUGUUGCUCUCUGCCCCGCUGUCUCCCUGUCACCGGCUCCCAUCACCAUUGCUUUUUUUUGUUGUUCGCCGCUUGCUCGCCCCCGCCUCUGGAGUUUUGUGUGCGUGUGCUUCCUGAGAGUCCUGCGCCGCUCUUUUUUUCUGUUUUUCUUUUUUGUUGUUGUUUUCGGCUCUUCGUCGCUUCAGCACACACCUCAAGCACACACACACACACAAACGCGCGCCCUGCUUACGGCGUCAUCGGACUUGCUUCGUUGUUUUUGUUUUCCUUCGUCUUUGUUUCUCUCCUUUGAAAAGUCGUUUGUUUGCUGUCGCGCCGCACCGUCGAUCUCCUGCGCGCUCUCCGUGUCGCUCUCGCUCUUGCCCUCGUCAUCUCCGCACACACACACGCACAUAUAUAUAUAUAUAUAUAUGAUUCGUGCCUUGCGCCUCGCCGAGUUCUUGCCUCUUUCCUUUCGCUCGCUUCUUUUUUUUUCUAGUCCUUCCCCCUCGUUUUCCUUUGCGGUGCGCUUUCCCUCUUUACUCCACGUCGAACGGUGCGUCGUGACACUUUUAGAUUGCAUCGACGCGCACCUCCACACACGUGCACGCAGGCUCUGGACUUGGUAGAAGCGCAGCGGAUCUUUUUUUCCCGUCCGCAUCUCGCUUUUGCGCUUGUGUGUGUGUGUGUGUGGGCGUGUCUGUCCGCGACGCCUGUGUGCCAUCGACGAAGUUGUGCAAGAGUAUGCGUGUGCGCGUGGGUUUCUCGUCUCUCCCCUCCCUCCCUCCCUCCCUCCUCCUUCCCGCAAAAGAAAACAAAAUUGAGCGCUUCAUCUUUUCUUCGCCAUCUGGCCAUCUCGCUUAUCUGUUCGCAUCAGCGUCACCGACCCUUUUUUCUUUGUGUGUGUGCCUUCGCUCUUCGUUUUCUUUUCCACCGUCUUCUGAAACCGCAAACUCUUUCGUUGCUGCCGACUUCUCCUACCCACCUCUAGUUUUCUUUUCCUUGUGUGUGUCUCUGUGUGUUUGUGUAGGUUUUACCGCUUGCUUCUUUUCGUUUUCGGUUCGUGCCGCAUCUGCAUUUCCGUGUCGUCUUCUUGUUCUCUGCUUGCUGCUUCCUUGCUUCUCACACACCUCGUCCCCUCUCCCUCUCCCGCUGGCGCUCUGUCUUCGCGUCGUGCGAGCGUGUUUGUGUGUCUCGUGUGCCUGCCUUUUUCGCGAAAGAGGCCUUCGCCUUCUGUUUUUGUUCUAACGUUGUUUAUGUGCGCGUUGGUGGUGUCGGCGGCGGCAAAUUGCGUCUUGACGUGUUCACACUGGUUCCUGCACUGUCUUCUCUCUCGACCCUUCCUCGCCUCCUCUCCUCUUCUCUUCUCUCUGUCUUCUCUGUUCGUCGUGGCACGGCGGGCCCUCUUGUCGUUGUCGAUUUCGCGUUUCUUCGCCUCCUUCACCUUCUUUGUUUGCUCAGCAUUCGUUUCGUCGCUUGAUUGUGCGCUCUUCCCUCUCUUGUCCGGCACUCGGUCUGUCAGCUCUUCUUCUCGCGUGUCACCGCUUCACACCACCCACCACCCCAUCUCCCUCUCUUUUUUUUUUCGUUUCUUUUUCUUUGUUUCUCGUGUGUAUCUUCGUUCUUUUUUUUCCGGCUCUAUCUUGUGCGCGUUGCUGCCCCGAUAAAACGUUUGUCUAACAGCUCGACUGCUGCACAGCAACAGGUCGCUUUCCACACCAACGCGCGCGCGCAGGCACUCUGCCUUCGGGGUGGGCGCACGCGUGCGUGCCUUUGAUUUCGUCUUCCCUUUUUUUAUUGGUUGCUCGUUCUCCUUCCGUUCUUUUACUUCUGCCGCCGCUGCGCCGCUGUCGCUGCCUCUCGGUCCCCUCUCUUUCUCGCUCCCUCUUCGUCCCUCGGCUCUUUUCUCGCCUCCUUUCUCUUGAACGUGCGCGCGUGCGUGUGUGCGACACGUUUUUCCGCCAUCCAUGCUCACUCCAGCCAUGUUCGAGCUUCUUUUGAGCUUCUCGCCACAGCCGCCCCGCGCUAUGCUUGCGGCUGGUCCAGGCGCGCGAUGCGCCACGGAGCGACGCUGUUGCGUGGGUUCAAGCAGCACUCUCAGCUUCACGGUAGAGCGCGUUCCUGCUCGUUACGCGCGUGAGCGAGGUGUCUGCCUCGCACCCGCAGCCGGCGUACGGGAGGUGAUGGUGGUAACGUGUUGUGCUGCCGGUCGCAAGGAUGGCGCGCAGGCUGCGCUGGAGGUGGGCAUGUGGUGGGUCGACCGCUGCCUCAGCACGGCCGUGCAGCAAGCGGCUGGAGGGACGGCGGUGCUGUUUUGUUGUAUGAAGAUUGUGGACGUGGCAGUGGAGCGGCUAACGCUCUACUCAAGUGAGGACUCGCCGCUCCCUGCAUCAUCGGCCAUCGGGCGUAUGCGCAUGCCUCGGCAUUUCUUUGGGCUUCAGCUGUUUCGCCUUGGAGAACUGCGUCAUGUGCAGCUCUCCCCGUCAGUGCGGCGGCUGGUCGUCGAGGUUGACGUCCGAUCGUGCCUGCGUUGGCCCCAGUCGGAGGUGAACAACUUCCUAGCCAGCUUGCAGUCCCCGCUGCGUGCGGUUCAUGUAGCAACGUGCUCCGUAUCUCCCGUGAAGCUGCUGAACAAGUUUCACGCAUCUCUACGUGUUCUGUACUUGUUCCGUCGAACAACCACUGUCCGCGACCCCACAGACACUCGAGUGCCUGUCAACAUAGAGGACGAGGAGUACGAGGAAGAAGAGAGCAACACCAGCCCAUCUCUGACGCCUGCCAUGGAUGCGCCCGCCACGGCGCAACACGCGAGCCAGCUCCCUGCGGCGGUGCACGGGGUCGCACAGCUGUCACCCAUAGCGCGGACGGUGACACCGCAGUCGACAUCGACCACCUCGACAACUGCCACCGGGGCGCGAAGCCGGCGGACAAGGCGUCUGCGCCUCUCCUCUGCCGCCGCGGCUGCACCGGUGCUUGAGGAGCUCCACGUGACGAGCUCGGCCCGGCGCUCGUUGCCCCGCUGGGUGGAGACGUGCACGCGCCUGAAACACAUCACGCUGCGCAACUGCGCCUACAACCGAGUGGACUCGCUCCGUUUUGCCCGCAAGCUCACAAGCAUCUUGCUCGACGGAUGCGCGAGUUUUGUUGGGUUCGACUGCUUGUGUGGCUUUCCGGAACUGCGGUCGGUAACCGUGAAGAACUGCGGGCUUUUGCGUGAUCUCUCGUGGGUGCCGCGGCUGAGGGGUUCGCUGUCCUACCUGUGCAUUCACCACCUGUCGCCGGCGUCGAUCACCGCGUUUGCGUCCGCCUCCUGUCUCGGGAUGGGUCUGAGCGGGCUUGAGGAGCUCAAUCUCUCCAUACCGAGCCUGCACGCACUGCGGUCGUUUGUGGCGCACUCCUCCGCCACACUGCGUGAGUUGACGCUCUUCACGUGCAUGAGCUUGAGCGGCUUUUCAGACCUUCCCGCGCUGCCCGCCUUGGAGAAGGUGGUGAUCACCGGCAACUGCCACAUGCAGAACUUUUUGUGGUUGUCGAGGUCGCCUCGUGUUGUCGAGGUGCGUGCAACGCAGUGCUCGCAGCUGAUGUCCUUGACAGGACUCGACGCGCUGCAUCAGCUGCGCUUACUCGACGUCAAUGGGUGCCAACGCGUUCGCACCAUCGCCCCGCUCGCUGAGUGCGUUUCGCUGACGUACCUGGACGUGUCGCACUGCGGUCUGCUGACGAGAGUAUCAGUGCUUGAAAAGCUCCCAUGUCUCCAGUGCGUGUUGAUGCGCAACUGCACGUCGCUGGUAAAGGACUUCGGGUGGAUCGAGGCCUGUCCGAAGCUGGUGGAGCUCAUGGUGCCUGGACCGUCGUGGGUCGAGGCGGCGAGGGGUGUGCUGCGUCGCCUCGGCCGCCGUAAUGUAGUUCUUCGCUGAUGCGAGCCAAGAGAAUGCUGGGGGACGAGUGACGCAGGAUCAGAAGACGAAGAACGACCAUCACGGUUCUUUACCUUCACCCCUCUGCCUCCUGGUCACCUUCACGAAAAGGUGAUGGUCGGUGGUGGUGUUGGCGGGAGGAGGGAGGGAUGCAGCCACACCAGCUGCGAGCGAAGGAAUAAGAGAGGUGGAUUGCUGGCGGCGUUCUGACCCUCCCUCCCCCCGCCCCGCUUUCGUUGUCAUUGCUUCCGUCCUCGUCCCUUCCACCGCUGCCUCACCGCCGCACUCCUCCUCUGCUGUCCACCACGAGCGCGUCUGCGUUCGGAUUUCGUUCCUCAUCUUCCUCGCUCUCCCUCCUCUAGAAGUAAAUUGCAGAGAUGAGGCUAGAAGAACACGCCCUCCUCCUCUCCCAUUCGCACAUCGGCUGUGCCGUGCAUAUCGUGUUUUCCGCACGGCAGCAGAUGAUGUUGCCACCGUCGCUGUCGAUUGCCCGUGUCGUGGUCUCCUGCCGCCCUCUCUGCCCCUUACCUCUCUGUCUUGUUUACCUUCUUCCCCUCUUUCGAUGCAGCUCCGCAUUAUCAUCGCGCUCCUUCGCGUCAUCUAGUUUUUGUUCGUUGUUCUCCUGGCACACGCACGUGCGCAUCUGUGUGUGCAUGCACGUGUUCUCACCUCCAGCCUGCGUUGACCCCUCCCCUCUUCCCCCGUUUUCUUGUGUCGUUCCUCCCCCCCUCCACAAACACCGCCUUCUCACCGUGUUCCUUCUCUGAUCUAUCAGUGCCCUUCAUAUGUUCUAAAGUCUUGUUUGCUGGCCUGUGUGUCUGCACGUGUUACGCUAGCGUUCUUCUCCCUCCCUCUCCCUCGCCACAUCAGCGCGUAAGUCGUGGAGAAGAUCUCCACGAGUGCGUGGCUCAUAUGUGCCCGAGAGCUUCUCGUUCUUUCUCCCUCUUCUCCGCUUAUUGAUGUUGAGCUCCAUUGCUGUACCGAACGCUUGCUAUGCGCCUCUUGUUUCCCUGCGUCUGUCUGUAUUUCUGUGUCUGUGCGUGUGUGUGUGUGUGGGUCAGACACAAUCUCUAUCUCUUGCUGUUGUUGUUCGCUCGCUCUCGUAAUUCGGCUGCUCCCCUCUCCCUCUCUCGAGCUUUUUGUUGCUGCUUGCGCUUGUCUGCGCCGCGCACCCGUACCUCCGACCUUACAAACAUACACACACAUAAAUCAGCUGUGAGGACCGGCUCCAGCUUUCUCUCUCCUCCUCCCUCUUCGUGUCUGGUUCAUUGUCUUCCCUUCCCUACCACCACCCCUUCAUUUUGUUUCCGCCUGUGCGUGUGUCAUGCUCGUCUAACUGUGCCCGGAGGAGGGCGUACCCACUCCCCUCGACUUCCCUGCGCCUCGCCCCUUCCUUUGGGUUCUUCCUAUCCUCGGCGAUAUACAUCACGCACAUUCACGCGCUCCCCCUUCCUCCGGAUAGCCUCACGAGGUCGUGCGUGCGCGCGUGCGUCACUCAAGCGAAACGGACCUCCUCAACGUCCCUCGCACCUCGCUCACUCACUCUCCUCUUCUCCAUCCACCGCCUCCCUCCCCUCCCCCAAUCCCGCGCCUUCAUUUCUUUGACAGCAAACAAUGAGGGUGCUUCUGUGCGGGAGUGAAAGGAGGGAAGGGGGAGGGCGGAGGGGAUACGCGUUGAUGGCCUGCGUGUCUAUGCGCUCCCGUGUAUCGGCGUGUCUCGGCGUGGGUGCUCGGGGCCGACGCGAGGUGGCGGCGGCCGAGUAGCCACACAAAAGCCGAGAUGGGGCGUACAACACCGGGUGGCGAAGGACGGGCGAAGGGGUAGGGUUUGUGUGAGUAUAUGGCGACGGAAGGCGGUGCUCUUCUCUAUUUUGUUCGGCUUCUUCGGUCUUCGCAGCGAAGGAGGAGAAAGAGUGAGGUGGCUAUUCAAUAAGGAGGGGAGGGGAGAAUGUGGGGAGAUGGAUCGGCGCAGGAGCAUGACGUGAAGAAGCUUGUUCUUCGUCUCUGUCUUUUGUGGCCGCCUCGUAUCUCUUUCUCUCUCUUCCUCUCCAGGGCUACACAUCACAGCUGCGGUCUGUCAACCUCUCUCCUCAUUGUCCUUCCUCAUUCCUCGUUGUCCUCUGAACAACACACGCAUAUAG
This 9628-nucleotide unclassified non-coding RNA is filed under the name Leishmania donovani. RNAcentral's name for it is "gene:LdHU3.08.0210(CDS-product:hypothetical_prote in_conserved)". Lineage: Eukaryota; Euglenozoa; Kinetoplastea; Trypanosomatida; Trypanosomatidae. The record is from RNAcentral.